GAGUUAAGCCAAAAACUGAACUGAACCAAGCUGAGCCGAACUGAGCUGAAGAACUGGAGCGUGGCUCCCAAACUUAAUACUUAACAGCACGUGACUUUUGUGAACCGCAAGGACGAAGACAGGUGGAACGGAAGCACCAAGUUAUUAAGGACGGCAGGCAGCGAGAAAAGCUGACUCUAUUAACAGAGCAAACAGGCUAAAAAAAAAAAGACAGAAAAAAAGUAAAAGUAAAAGGAAAA
Molecule: long non-coding RNA, 239 nt
Organism: Drosophila innubila
Lineage: Eukaryota; Metazoa; Arthropoda; Insecta; Diptera; Drosophilidae
Exons: 3
Source: RefSeq, a predicted model, not a curated record